Long non-coding RNA from Neofelis nebulosa (Clouded leopard), 2617 nucleotides. RefSeq lists it as uncharacterized. The transcript has 5 exons. The record is from RefSeq and is a predicted model, not a curated record. Lineage: Eukaryota; Metazoa; Chordata; Mammalia; Carnivora; Felidae.
GCGCCGGGGCGGGGCGGCGGGAGGGGCGGGGCCGAGAGCACCUGCGGGCUCCGGCGUGCGGUCUGCUGGAGGGCGUCCUGACGGCGCCUCCACCGCGGCGAGUCCGGGCCGUGGCCGGCGGUGGGAAGCAGGCGAGGCGCGCCCGAGGAGAGGGGACGGUGAAGGAAGAAGCUCCAGGGACGUGGGACAGUGGCCGAGAAAAGUAGCGCGAGCUGUCGGGGGAACUCGGAGGGAAGGGACUGCGUGCGCACCUGACUGCGUCCUGGGGCAGGGGGCCGAGGGCAGCGGGUACUUUACCCUUUUAAAGGUUCACCGCAUUUCCCGCCCAAGUUUAAGCAAGGCGAGAGAAAAAACCCAAUAUACAUUCAUGUGCAUAUAUACACUUUUGUGUCGACCGUUUUAUUUCUGGGAACCCAAUUUGAAGGAAUUUUGUUGAUUUUAUUGCUGUUUAAACAAAAGUAGAGGAGCCCACCAUCUGAAUGCAGCGUUGGCUAAAGGUCAGCGGGAGACCCUGUCCUGGCCCCAUCAGUUAGCUGUCUCCACUGCGGACUGGGUGGAAAGGCAAAAGGUCGUGGAAAACGUUAAGGCACACGAAGUCCGGGAUUCAAAACAGCAGACAUUAACCAUGGCACUAGAUGGUUGAGUGACAUGGUCACCAGGCCAGACUCCACAUCAGCACUUUUGCAUGUCUGAAGAUGAUUGAGAAUUUACUUACUUGUCUUGAGAGAGAGAAAGAGAGAGAGAGAAUCUCAGGCAGGCUCUGCACUGUUAGCACAGAGACCAACCUGGGACUUGAGGUUACGAACCCCAUGAGAUCAUGACCUGAGCCGAAAUCAAGAGUCAGACGCUUAACCGACUGAGCCACCCAGGCACCCCUGUUUUAUUGUAAGUUUUGAAAAUGGGGCAGAAUGCCAAAACAACCUUGUAUCCCAAGGUAAGUUCUACUUGGUCAUUGUCUCAUGCUGCUGGAUUUGAUUUCCUUGUUUAUGUUCAUGUGGCAUAAUGUGAUGACUUUGGCCUCAACGAGCUUGGAAGUGGAUUCUUUUCCAAAGCCUCUAGUUAGAAGCCUGGUCCAGCUAAUGCCUUGAUUUGAGCCAUGUGACACACUGAGCAAGAGAGCCCUGUUGAGUCUGACUGGACUUCUGACCUACAAGAAGCAACUCGGAGGGAGUCUUUCACCAGCAUCCAGAUGCAGAUCUGAAUUUUACUUUUACCCACUAUAGCAUCACCCGCAUUGUGCGUCCUAUCGGCUUUUCCGUGUGGGUAAUUUCCUAACGAAUUCCUGAGAUGAGUCAACUUUGAAUAUGCCUUUGAAGAAGCCUCAGUCCAAGUAUGUGGAUUUAGAUCCCGUGGGUCCCUUGCUUACCCAGAAUCUGAACAGCCACCGCCAAGGGAGUACAGAGGACACUGGCUUUGAACCUUGCAAGGACUGCUUCACUACCUUCCAGGCUUGGUGAGGGCUUCGGUCUGGCAUUGGUAUUCUGGGAGUACCUGCUUCAAAAGAUCAGCGAUUUGAGGAGGAAAUAAGGGAGCCCGUGAAGAGUGCAGAGGAGGUUCAGUCCGUGCCAGCUGUACGAGUCCUGGGAAGUAAGUGCAGGCAUCUUUAGAUGCCAUAACAGAAUGUUCACCUCCAGACUUCGUGUGAAAUCAACCCCAAAACGAAGAGACUGAACUUGAAAGUGCAAAGCCCUUGAGCCCUCCUUUAAUGACACUUAACACACUCCCUUAUAGCGCCCAGGGGCUUGGGUAAGAGCAUUUAAAAUUUAAAAUGCUCAGUUGAGCGGCCGACUUCAGCUCAGGUUAUAAUCUUGCGGUUGGUGGGUUCGAGCCCCGUAUCGGGCUGUGUGUUGACCCAGAGCCUGGAGCCUGCUUCAGAAUCUGCGUCUCCCUCCCUCUCUGCCCCUCCCCAGCUCACGCUGUCUCUCGCUCCCCUUCAAAAAUAAAUAAACAUCAACAAAAUAAAAUACUCAUCCCUUAGGGUGCCUGGGUGGCUCAGUUGAUUAGGGCCUGACUCUUAACCUCAGGGUCCUGAGUUGAAGCCCCACAUUGGGCUCCAUGCUGAGUGUGGAACCUACUUAAAAAAAUAAAUAAAAUAAUAAAAUGCCCAUCCCUGCAUUACCAACCACGUUUCAGCUUUUUGCUGUUUCUGUCCCCAAAGAAACCUACACGCUCUGGUGCAGGAGGUAUGUUCAAGAACGUUCCCUGUAGCACUACCAAAAAACUGUAAAUAACCCAACUGUCCGCUAAUGGCUUCAAAAUAUAUAUACAAGGGAAUAGUUGGUGGUCCUUGUACAAGGUGCCCCACUGCUCUCUAAUAUGGAAAGUUCCUCAAAAGAUAUUGCUGAGUAUGAAAAAGAAAGUGGCAGAAUGACACAAAAGAUACCAUUUGUGUAAAAUCCCGAACAAAAUAAUCAUAUGUGGCUUCCUUAGGAAUGUGUACAUGUGUGUAAAUACAAUGAUGUUUUUCUGGAAACAGGACAGCCACAGAGUAUACAGUGGCUGAACGGGGUGGGAGCCCUAUCCCUGAUUCUGAUUUGCUAAAUGUAUUUCAAGUAUAAAGUAAAAAAUCAUCACAUACAGUGACGAAUAACCUGUAUUCCUAUUUAAUACCCAAUGU